AGGAAAAGAAACCAACAGGGAUUGCCCUAGUAACGGCGAGUGAAGCGGCAACAGCUCAAAUUUGAAAUCUGGCGCAAGCCCGAGUUGUAAUUUGUAGAGGAUGCUUCUAGGUAGCGACCGGUCUAAGUUCCUUGGAACAGGACGUCAUAGAGGGUGAGAAUCCCGUAUGUGACUGGCCCGCACCUUCUACGUAGCUCCUUCGACGAGUCGAGUUGUUUGGGAAUGCAGCUCUAAAUGGGAGGUAAAUUUCUUCUAAAGCUAAAUACCGGCCAGAGACCGAUAGCGCACAAGUAGAGUGAUCGAAAGAUGAAAAGCACUUUGGAAAGAGAGUUAAAAAGCACGUGAAAUUGUUGAAAGGGAAGCGCUCACAACCAGACUUCUAGGCAGUGUUCCGCCGGUCUUUUGACCGGUCUACUCUCUGUCUCGAGGCCAACAUCAUCUGGGACCGCUGGAUAAGACCUUAGGAAUGUAGCUCCCCUCGGGGAGUGUUAUAGCCUCUGGUGAUGCAGCGAGUCUCGGGUGAGGUCCGCGCUUCGGCAAGGAUGUUGGCGUAAUGGUUGUCAGCGGCCCGUCUUGAAACACGGACCAAGGAGUCUAACAUCUAUGCGAGUGUUCGGGUGUCAAACCCCUACGCGUAAUGAAAGUGAACGGAGGUGGGAAGCGUAAGCUGCACCAUCGACCGAUCCUGAUGUCCUCGGAUGGAUUUGAGUAAGAGCAUAGCUGUUGGGACCCGAAAGAUGGUGAACUAUGCCUGAAUAGGGUGAAGCCAGAGGAAACUCUGGUGGAGGCUCGCAGCGGUUCUGACGUGCAAAUCGAUCGUCAAAUUUGGGUAUAGGGGCGAAA
This 843-nucleotide ribosomal RNA is filed under the name Ramularia vizellae. Its description in RNAcentral is "eukaryotic LSU rRNA". It matches the Rfam family "Eukaryotic large subunit ribosomal RNA", at positions 54 to 928 of the family's 3401-position model. The record is from RNAcentral. Lineage: Eukaryota; Fungi; Ascomycota; Dothideomycetes; Mycosphaerellales; Mycosphaerellaceae. RNAcentral also lists the same sequence under 1 other name.